This 498-nucleotide ribosomal RNA is filed under the name uncultured bacterium. RNAcentral describes it as "partial 16S ribosomal RNA". It matches the Rfam family "Bacterial small subunit ribosomal RNA", at positions 30 to 523 of the family's 1533-position model. The record is from RNAcentral.
AUUGAACGCUGGCGGCAUGCCUUACACAUGCAAGUCGAACAGUAACAGGUCUUCGGAUGCUGACGAGUGGCGAACGGGUGAGUAAUACAUCGGAACGUGCCUAGUAGUGGGGGAUAACUACUCGAAAGAGUGGCUAAUACCGCAUGAGAUCUACGGAUGAAAGCAGGGGAUCGCAAGACCUUGUGCUACUAGAGCGGCCGAUGGCAGAUUAGGUAGUUGGUGGGAUAAAAGCUUACCAAGCCGACGAUCUGUAGCUGGUCUGAGAGGACGAUCAGCCACACUGGGACUGAGACACGGCCCAGACUCCAACGGGAGGCAGCAGUGGGGAAUUUUGGACAAUGGGCGAAAGCCUGAUCCAGCAAUGCCGCGUGCAGGAUGAAGGCCUUCGGGUUGUAAACUGCUUUUGUACGGAACGAAAAGCCCCGGGUUAAUACCCUGGGGUCAUGACGGUACCGUAAGAAUAAGCACCGGCUAACUACGUGCCAGCCGCCGCAGUAA